AGAGGAUUAGUUUAACGGCAAAACUAAGGACUCCAAACCCUUCGUUACAGGUUCGAAUCCUGUAUCCUCUGCCA
Molecule: transfer RNA, 74 nt
Filed under: Mycoplasma phocoenae
Lineage: Bacteria; Bacillati; Mycoplasmatota; Mollicutes; Mycoplasmatales; Mycoplasmataceae
Description: Mycoplasma sp. Phocoena C-264-GEN tRNA-Trp
Rfam family: tRNA
About the family: Transfer RNA (tRNA) molecules are approximately 80 nucleotides in length. Their secondary structure includes four short double-helical elements and three loops (D, anti-codon, and T loops). Further hydrogen bonds mediate the characteristic L-shaped molecular structure. tRNAs have two regions of fundamental functional importance: the anti-codon, which is responsible for specific mRNA codon recognition, and the 3' end, to which the tRNAs corresponding amino acid is attached (by aminoacyl-tRNA synthetases). tRNAs cope with the degeneracy of the genetic code in two manners: having more than one tRNA (with a specific anti-codon) for a particular amino acid; and 'wobble' base-pairing, i.e. permitting non-standard base-pairing at the 3rd anti-codon position.
Source: RNAcentral